This 953-nucleotide non-coding RNA is filed under the name Neosilurus hyrtlii (Glencoe tandan). Its description in RNAcentral is "12S ribosomal RNA". It matches the Rfam family "Bacterial small subunit ribosomal RNA". Lineage: Eukaryota; Metazoa; Chordata; Actinopteri; Siluriformes; Plotosidae. The record is from RNAcentral.
CAAAGGCUUGGUCCUGACUUUACCAUCAACUUUAACCCAAUUUAUACAUGCAAGCAUCCGCACCCCUGUGAGAAUGCCCUCAACCCCCCUCUCGGGGGUGAGGAGCGGGCAUCAGGCACACCCUUCCGCCCAAGACGCCUUGCUAUGCCACACCCCCAAGGGAAAUCAGCAGUAAUAAACAUUAAGCCAUAAGUGAAAGCUUGACUUAGUUAUGGUUAACAGGGCCGGUAAAAUUCGUGCCAGCCACCGCGGUUAUACGAAAGACCCUAGUUGAUGUCCACGGCGUAAAGGGUGGUUAAGGAACUAAUAAAAUAAAACCAAAGGUCUUCUAAGCUGUCAUACGCACCGCGAAGAUACGAAGCCCAAAUACGAAAGUAGUUUUAGACAAUUUUAAACCUGACCCCACGAAAGCUAAGAAACAAACUGGGAUUAGAUACCCCACUAUGCUUAGCCUUAAACCCAGAUGUAUCAUUACACACACAUCCGCCCGGGUACUACGAGCACAGCUUAAAACCCAAAGGACUUGGCGGUGUCUCAGACCCACCUAGAGGAGCCUGUUCUAGAACCGAUAAUCCUCGUUAAACCUCACCACUUCUUGUCUUAUCCGCCUAUAUACCGCCGUCGUCAGCUUACCUUGUGAAAGCCUAUAACAGUAAGCAAAAUUGGCAAACCCAAAAACGUCAGGUCGAGGUGUAGCGUACGAAGUGGGAAGAAAUGGGCUACAUUUUCUAAUAAUAGACUACUACGAAUAGCACCCUGAAACGAGUGCCUAAAGGUGGAUUUAGCAGUAAAAAGUAAACAGAGAGUUCUUUUGAAUCAGGCUCUGAGACGCGCACACACCGCCCGUCACCCUCCCCCACACACAAUAACACAAUUUCAUAAUAGCACAACACAAAACAAGGGGAGGCAAGUCGUAACAUGGUAAGUAUACCGGAAGGUGUACUUGGAAUAAU